AGUGAACGCUGGCGGUAGGCCUAACACAUGCAAGUCGAACGGCAGCACAGUAAGAGCUUGCUCUUACGGGUGGCGAGUGGCGGACGGGUGAGGAAUACAUCGGAAUCUACUUUUUCGUGGGGGAUAACGUAGGGAAACUUACGCUAAUACCGCAUACGACCUACGGGUGAAAGCAGGGGAUCUUCGGACCUUGCGCGAUUGAAUGAGCCGAUGUCGGAUUAGCUAGUUGGCGGGGUAAAGGCCCACCAAGGCGACGAUCCGUAGCUGGUCUGAGAGGAUGAUCAGCCACACUGGAACUGAGACGCGGUCCAGACUCCUACGGGAGGCAGCAGUGGGGAAUAUUGGACAAUGGGCGCAAGCCUGAUCCAGCCAUACCGCGUGGGUGAAGAAGGCCUUCGGGUUGUAAAGCCCUUUUGUUGGGAAAGAAAAGCAGCAGGUUAAUACCCCGCUGUUCUGACGGUACCCAAGGAAUAAGCACCGGCUAACUUCGUG
RNAcentral lists this ribosomal RNA (492 nucleotides) under uncultured bacterium. RNAcentral describes it as "partial 16S ribosomal RNA". It matches the Rfam family "Bacterial small subunit ribosomal RNA", at positions 29 to 507 of the family's 1533-position model. The record is from RNAcentral.